Molecule: ribosomal RNA, 440 nt
Filed under: uncultured bacterium
Lineage: Bacteria
Description: partial 16S ribosomal RNA
Rfam family: Bacterial small subunit ribosomal RNA
Source: RNAcentral
CCUACGGGUGGCAGCAGUGGGGAAUCUUGCACAAUGGGGGAAACCCUGAUGCAGCGACGCCGCGUGAGUGAAGAAGUAAUUCGGUAUGUAAAGCUCUGUCAGCAGGGAAGAAAAUGACGGUACCUGACCAAGAAGCUCCGGCUAACUACGUGCCAGCAGCCGCGGUAAUACGUAGGGGGCAAGCGUGAUCCGGAUUUACUGGGUGUAACGGGAGCGUAGACGGUAGGGCAAGUCUGGAGUGAAAGGCGGGGGCUCAACCCCCGGACUGCUCUGGAAACUGCCAGGCUGGAGUGCAGGAGAGGUAAGUGGAAUUCCUAGUGUAGCGGUGAAAUGCGUAGAUAUAAGGAGGAACACCAGUGGCGAAGGCGGCUUACUGGACUGUAACUGACGUUGAUGCGCGAAAGCGUGGGGAGCAAACAGGAUUAGAUACCCGUGUAGUC